This 67-nucleotide microRNA precursor is filed under the name Bombyx mori (domestic silkworm). RNAcentral's name for it is "mir-2774 microRNA precursor family". It matches the Rfam family "mir-2774 microRNA precursor family". The record is from Rfam by way of RNAcentral. Lineage: Eukaryota; Metazoa; Arthropoda; Insecta; Lepidoptera; Bombycidae.
ACAACAUUUGGACCGUCGGUCUAUCAAGCAAUUACACUUGAUCGGUGGAAGAUCUUCCCUUCGUCGU